AUGAGGCUCUCGCACUGUGAGACCUACUGCGCCGCCCCCCUCUGCUACAUCCCCUGCCUCCCCAAAUCCAAAGAUGCACCACCACCCGCCGCCGCCGACGCCGUCGCAGCGGCCCCCUGCCCGGUCGAGGACAAGCCGCCCCAGGUCCAGAAGAUUGAGGUCGUCGCGCCGGCGGCGGCCGACAAGGAUGAAGACGACAAGGAGCACGAGGACGGCGACAAGACGGCGGCCGCCGCGGCGCCACUGCCCAAGAGCAACCUCAAGAAGGCCAACUGCGGCGAGGACGGCGUGUGCGCCCCCAAGGGCAAUGUGAAGUGGCUCGAUUUGCUGGGGAAGGAUCUCACCGAGGUCAAGGAGUUCGAGCCAAGCGAAUCCGGAGACUCGAUGGACGACGAAGGCAUCUCGACGUGCGUGUGCGUCAUCCAAUGA
RNAcentral lists this ribosomal RNA (429 nucleotides) under Triticum aestivum (bread wheat). RNAcentral describes it as "partial small subunit ribosomal RNA". The record is from RNAcentral. Lineage: Eukaryota; Viridiplantae; Streptophyta; Magnoliopsida; Poales; Poaceae.